CUUGCUCUCUGAUUCAGCGGCGGACGGGUGAGUAAUGCCUAGGAAUCUGCCUGAUAGUGGGGGACAACGUUUCGAAAGGAACGCUAAUACCGCAUACGUCCUAAGGGAGAAAGCAGGGGACCUUCGGGCCUUGCGCUAUCAGAUGAGCCUAGGUCGGAUUAGCUAGUUGGUGAGGUAAUGGCUCACCAAGGCGACGAUCCGUAACUGGUCUGAGAGGAUGAUCAGUCACACUGGAACUGAGACACGGUCCAGACUCCUACGGGAGGCAGCAGUGGGGAAUAUUGGACAAUGGGCGAAAGCCUGAUCCAGCCAUGCCGCGUGUGUGAAGAAGGUCUUCGGAUUGUAAAGCACUUUAAGUUGGGAGGAAGGGCAUUAACCUAAUACGUUAGUGUUUUGACGUUACCGACAGAAUAAGCACCGGCUAACUUCGUGCCAGCAGCCGCGGUAAUACGAAGGGUGCAAGCGUUAAUCGGAAUUACUGGGCGUAAAGCGCGCGUAGGUGGUUUGUUAAGUUGAAUGUGAAAGCCCCGGGCUCAACCUGGGAACUGCAUCCAAAACUGGCAAGCUAGAGUAUGGCAGAGGGUGGUGGAAUUUCCUGUGUAGCGGUGAAAUGCGUAGAUAUAGGAAGGAACACCAGUGGCGAAGGCGACCACCUGGGCUAAUACUGACACUGAGGUGCGAAAGGUGGGGAGCAAACAGGAUUAGAUACCCUGGUAGUCCACGCCGUAAACGAUGUCGACUAGCCGUUGGGAUCCUUGAGAUCUUAGUGGCGCAGCUAACGCAUUAAGUCGACCGCCUGGGGAGUACGGCCGCAAGGUUAAAACUCAAAUGAAUUGACGGGGGCCCGCACAAGCGGUGGAGCAUGUGGUUUAAUUCGAAGCAACGCGAAGAACCUUACCAGGCCUUGACAUGCAGAGAACUUUCCAGAGAUGGAUUGGUGCCUUCGGGAACUCUGACACAGGUGCUGCAUGGCUGUCGUCAGCUCGUGUCGUGAGAUGUUGGGUUAAGUCCCGUAACGAGCGCAACCCUUGUCCUUAGUUACCAGCACGUUAAGGUGGGCACUCUAAGGAGACUGCCGGUGACAAACCGG
Molecule: ribosomal RNA, 1090 nt
Filed under: Stutzerimonas stutzeri
Lineage: Bacteria; Pseudomonadati; Pseudomonadota; Gammaproteobacteria; Pseudomonadales; Pseudomonadaceae
Description: bacterial SSU rRNA
Rfam family: Bacterial small subunit ribosomal RNA
Source: RNAcentral